CCUUCGAUAGCUCAGUUGGUAGAGCGGUGGACUGUAGUGGUUUAUAUCAAAGAUAUCCAUAGGUCGCUGGUUCAAAUCCGGCUCGAAGGA
Molecule: transfer RNA, 90 nt
Filed under: Danaus plexippus plexippus
Lineage: Eukaryota; Metazoa; Arthropoda; Insecta; Lepidoptera; Nymphalidae
Rfam family: tRNA
About the family: Transfer RNA (tRNA) molecules are approximately 80 nucleotides in length. Their secondary structure includes four short double-helical elements and three loops (D, anti-codon, and T loops).
Source: Rfam by way of RNAcentral